This 75-nucleotide transfer RNA is filed under the name Caudoviricetes sp. Its description in RNAcentral is "tRNA-Gly". It matches the Rfam family "tRNA". From Rfam's summary of the family: Transfer RNA (tRNA) molecules are approximately 80 nucleotides in length. Lineage: Duplodnaviria; Heunggongvirae; Uroviricota; Caudoviricetes. The record is from RNAcentral.
GGAGUAUUCGUAUAGUGGCUAAUAUUCUAGACUUCCAAUCUAGCGCGGUGGGUUCAAUUCCCACAUACUCCUCCA